Molecule: ribosomal RNA, 404 nt
Filed under: Crustacea environmental sample
Lineage: Eukaryota; Metazoa; Arthropoda
Description: partial small subunit ribosomal RNA
Rfam family: Eukaryotic small subunit ribosomal RNA
Source: RNAcentral
GCUUGUCUCAAAGAUUAAGCCAUGCAUGUCUAAGUAUAAACAACUUUAUACUGUGAAACUGCGAACGGCUCAUUAUAUCAGCAAUAAUUUAUUUGAUGGUUCCUUACUACAUGGAUAACUGUAGUAAUUCUAGAGCUAAUACAUGCGUAAAGUCCCGACUCUCGCGGGGAGGGAUGUAUUUAUUAGAUCAAAACCAAACGGCUUCGGCCGUCUCAUUGGUGACUCUGAAUAACUUUGGGCUGAUCGUAUGGCCUUGUGCCGACGACGUUUCCUUCGAAGGUGUGCCCUAUCAACUGUCGACUGUGAUAUAGACGCUCACAGUGGUUUUGACGGGUAACGGGGAAUCAGGGUUCGAUUCCGGAGAGGGAGCCUUAAAAACGGCUACCACAUCCAAGGAAGGCAGC